UACGAAGGGGGCUGGCGUUGCUCGGAAUCACUGGGCGUAAAGGGUGCGUAGGCGGGUCUUUAAGUCAGAGGUGAAAUCCUGGAGCUCAACUCCAGAACUGCCUUUGAUACUGAGGAUCUUGAGUACGGGAGAGGUGAGUGGAACUGCGAGUGUAGAGGUGAAAUUCGUAGAUAUUCGGAAGAACACCAGUGGCGAAGGCGACUCGCUGGACAGAUAUUGACGCUGAGGUGCGAAAGCGUGGGGAGCAAACAGG
Molecule: ribosomal RNA, 253 nt
Filed under: uncultured bacterium
Lineage: Bacteria
Description: partial 16S ribosomal RNA
Rfam family: Bacterial small subunit ribosomal RNA
Source: RNAcentral